CGGCACCCCGAGUGGUCGGGACGUUUAUUGGGCCUAAAGCAUCCGUAGCCGGUUCUACAAGUCUUCCGUUAAAUCCACCUGCUUAACAGAUGGGCUGCGGAAGAUACUAUAGAGCUAGGAGGCGGGAGAGGCAAGCGGUACUCGAUGGGUAGGGGUAAAAUCCGUUGAUCCAUUGAAGACCACCAGUGGCGAAGGCGGCUUGCCAGAACGCGCUCGACGGUGAGGGAUGAAAGCUGGGGGAGCAAACCGGAUUAGAUACCCGAGUAGUCC
This 270-nucleotide ribosomal RNA is filed under the name uncultured archaeon. RNAcentral's name for it is "partial 16S ribosomal RNA". It matches the Rfam family "Archaeal small subunit ribosomal RNA", at positions 477 to 747 of the family's 1478-position model. The record is from RNAcentral.